GUGUUCUUUCUGGACUCUUGGUGCCCAGAAGUGUUCAGGAUUGCCAUAUAAAGCCUUUAAGACCAUUGUUGACUUUCAUAACAUAGUGCCUCCUAUGUUUGCACUGCUUGCCGACUCAACCGUCCACACGGUGUCAACAAACCUAUCAGGUCCUCCUCUUUCUAAUGACACCAUCCAGAGGUCUCUAUGUGGUGUAGUUAUGGAGAGAGAGCAAGUUUAGAUGGGAGAGCACAUCAUCCUCGCAUGAAGUGCACUUGAGACCUGAUGGAGCAGAGCCUUUGUGUGCCAGGUAGGAAAGUGUUGCUGCCGCUCACACACCACACCAGUGCCAGCCUUUUGGUGGUGGAGAUUGAUAGAGAGCAUCAUGAAGGCAUCAGGACAACCAGGACUCAGGACCACCACAUGCUGUAUAUUGCCAUCACUGGAGGUCAGAUUCCUGCAACACAUGACACUUCCCUCAACAAAAUGUACUCAUUUGUGUUAAUGACUGAUUACUAUUUUCAUGAGGCAAGCUGUAAUUAUUGAGAAAAUUAGCAAAUCAAGAAAGAUUCUUCUAUUUAAGUAAAUCCUGUUGAAGGCUUAUUCACUGAGGCAUCUACCACCUGUGUCGCUCCUGGUACUUGGACUGCAGCACCCUGAUCAGGCCCUGGUACCAGUGAAGUGGCUUGGAAAGCAGAGGCAGCAACUGUGAGUCCACUGAUCCCAAAGGCUCCACACUCACAAGGUUCAGCAAUUCACUUAACUCUGUGAAGCUCAAACCACCAAGGACCUGCGGGUAGUUGAUUUUUGUUUUUAUAUUUGUACAGCUGGCACCAAAAUAGAAGGCAUCAGGAAGA
Molecule: long non-coding RNA, 836 nt
Organism: Scylla paramamosain (green mud crab)
Lineage: Eukaryota; Metazoa; Arthropoda; Malacostraca; Decapoda; Portunidae
Exons: 3
Source: RefSeq, a predicted model, not a curated record